GGGUCAGUAGGUUGGUCGUGCCACCGGUACGUACUGGUCUCACUGAUUCCUCCUUCCUGAAGAACCAUAGUGCCAUUAAUUUGGUGUUGCGGGGAAACAGGACUGUUACUUUGAAAAAAUUAGAGUGUUUAAAGCAAGCUAACGCUUGAAUACAUUAGCAUGGAAUAAUGAAAUAGGACGAUCGAUCCUAUUUUGUUGGUUUCUAGGAUUGACGUA
Molecule: ribosomal RNA, 216 nt
Filed under: Glomeromycotina sp.
Lineage: Eukaryota; Fungi; Glomeromycota
Description: partial small subunit ribosomal RNA
Rfam family: Eukaryotic small subunit ribosomal RNA (bases 40-216)
Source: RNAcentral